UCAGUGUAGCCUAGAAUUUAUGGAGCUCAGAUCAAGGAUUCCUCUUCUAUCCUCUUACCUUGUCACUCUGAACAAUGAUAAGGUUUUGAAAUUUUACAGCUGGAAAAGACUUUAAUUUCCUUAGUUCCUUACUUUACAGGUGAAAAGAAAAGGAAAAAGGAUGAGAAGAUAUGAGGCCCUGGGAAGAUGAAGCCAGCAGCCCAGGAUGACAGCAAUGAGCCAGCCUCCGAAGACACAUAAGGAUAUCCCCUAAGAGUGUGAAUUUGAGUCCCUGCCCAUUGGGGCCAACUAUGGCUACUUGUCAAUAAGCUUGACAUUCUAUGAUCCUGACUGCACAGAGUGGAAUGUUAAAAUCUGAUACCAGCAGUAGAGAUAUUCAAUGCAGAAACAUUUGUUACACAAGGUUCUUGGGUGAAAGAUCGUGCUGCACAUCUUCUCUACAGCUUUGAGCAAGUCACACGGCCUCUUUGGAGCUUAAUUUCUUCAUCUAUAAAGGUCUACCCUAUUGUGAAAAUAACCAUGAAUAGUAAAGUGCCACACUACUGAUAGAAGGAAGAAAGGCAAAGAAGUCACAAUUAUGAACGAGGCUGUUUGCAUUCUGGAUUAAUAAAUUGGGAGUUGGGAAGAUUAAUUUACACGGCCUACACACCUAAGG
Molecule: long non-coding RNA, 655 nt
Organism: Camelus dromedarius (Arabian camel)
Lineage: Eukaryota; Metazoa; Chordata; Mammalia; Artiodactyla; Camelidae
Exons: 6
Source: RefSeq, a predicted model, not a curated record